AGCAGCAUGGCUGAGUGGAAAGAGCAUUGGCCUGGGGAGUCAGAGGACCUGAGUUCUAAUCCCGGCUCUGCCA
RNAcentral lists this transfer RNA (73 nucleotides) under Ornithorhynchus anatinus (platypus). It matches the Rfam family "tRNA". Rfam says of the family: Transfer RNA (tRNA) molecules are approximately 80 nucleotides in length. Their secondary structure includes four short double-helical elements and three loops (D, anti-codon, and T loops). The record is from Rfam by way of RNAcentral. Lineage: Eukaryota; Metazoa; Chordata; Mammalia; Monotremata; Ornithorhynchidae.